RNAcentral lists this ribosomal RNA (28 nucleotides) under Pliciphaedusa aff. tosana RM-2016. Its description in RNAcentral is "partial 5.8S rRNA". The record is from RNAcentral. Lineage: Eukaryota; Metazoa; Mollusca; Gastropoda; Stylommatophora; Clausiliidae.
AGCCAUAAAAAAACCAGAGAAGAAAUGG